UAACAACAGAUGAUGCCUAUCAACUGUUUAAAAGUAUAGGGUUCUGCUAUCACUCUUGGAUGGACCUGCGGUGCAUUAGCUAGUUGGUAGGGUAACGGGCCUACCAAGGCGAUGAUGCAUAGCCGAGUUGAGAGACUGAUCGGCCACAUUGGGACUGAGACACGGCCCAAACUCCUACGGGAGGCAGCAGUAGGGAAUCUUCCACAAUGGACGCAAGUCUGAUGGAGCAACGCCGCGUGAGUGAAGAAGGGUUUCGGCUCGUAAAGCCCUGUUGUUGGUGAAGAAGGACAGGGGUAGUAACUGACCUUUGUUUGACGGUAAUCAAUUAGUAAGUCACGGCUAACUACGUGCCAGCAGCCGCGGUAAU
RNAcentral lists this ribosomal RNA (367 nucleotides) under uncultured Lactobacillus sp. RNAcentral describes it as "bacterial SSU rRNA". It matches the Rfam family "Bacterial small subunit ribosomal RNA", at positions 164 to 524 of the family's 1533-position model. The record is from RNAcentral. Lineage: Bacteria; Bacillati; Bacillota; Bacilli; Lactobacillales; Lactobacillaceae.